RNAcentral lists this ribosomal RNA (465 nucleotides) under uncultured bacterium. RNAcentral describes it as "partial 16S ribosomal RNA". It matches the Rfam family "Bacterial small subunit ribosomal RNA", at positions 29 to 507 of the family's 1533-position model. The record is from RNAcentral.
AUGAACGCUGGCGGCGUGCUUAACACAUGCAAGUCGAACGAUGAAGCCCAGCUUGCUGGGUGGAUUAGUGGCGAACGGGUGAGUAACACGUGAGUAACCUGCCCUUAACUCUGGGAUAAGCCUGGGAAACUGGGUCUAAUACCGGAUAGGAGCGCCUACCGCAUGGUGGGUGUUGGAAAGAUUUAUCGGUUUUGGAUGGACUCGCGGCCUAUCAGCUUGUUGGUGAGGUAAUGGCUCACCAAGGCGACGACGGGUAGCCGGCCUGAGAGGGUGACCGGCCACACUGGGACUGAGACACGGCCCAGACUCCUACGGGAGGCAGCAGUGGGGAAUAUUGCACAAUGGGCGAAAGCCUGAUGCAGCGACGCCGCGUGAGGGAUGACGGCCUUCGGGUUGUAAACCUCUUUCAGUAGGGAAGAAGCGAAAGUGACGGUACCUGCAGAAGAAGCACCGGCUAACUACAUG